Molecule: ribosomal RNA, 497 nt
Filed under: uncultured bacterium
Lineage: Bacteria
Description: partial 16S ribosomal RNA
Rfam family: Bacterial small subunit ribosomal RNA
Source: RNAcentral
GAUGAACGCUGGCGGCGUGCCUAAUACAUGCAAGUCGAGCGAACGGACGAGAAGCUUGCUUCUCUGAUGUUAGCGGCGGACGGGUGAGUAACACGUGGAUAACCUACCUAUAAGACUGGGAUAACUUCGGGAAACCGGAGCUAAUCCCGGAUGAUCUUUUGAACCGCAUGGUUCAAAAGUGAAAGACGGUCUUGCUGUCACUUAUCGAUGGAUCCGCGCUGCAUUAGCUAGUUGGUAAGUUAACGGCUUACCAAGGCAACGAUGCAUAGCCGACCUGAGAGGGUGAUCGGCCACAUGGGAACUGAGACGCGGUCCAGACGCCUACGGGAGGCAGCAGUAGGGAAUGUGCCGCAAUGGGCGAAAGCAUGACGGAGCAACGCCGCGUGAGUGAUGAAGGUCUUCGGAUCGUAAAAAUCUGUUAUUAGGGAAGAACAUAUGUGUAAGUAAAUGUGCACAUAGUGACGGUAACGAAUCAGAAAGCAACGGCUAACUACGUG